Molecule: long non-coding RNA, 4572 nt
Filed under: Brachypodium distachyon (stiff brome)
Lineage: Eukaryota; Viridiplantae; Streptophyta; Magnoliopsida; Poales; Poaceae
Description: long non-coding RNA (BDIS_LNC005587)
Source: RNAcentral
GGGGUUCCGAAAGCGGUAAAACAGGUGGUCUAACCGACACACGCGAUUACACGAAGUAGUAGCGAUGGCUAACUUUUAACUAAACAAAACCCAAGGCUCCUUAGGGGGGCUCAUGGGGUAUAUAAAGGAGGAGGGAGAGAUAUUUUCGUCCACCUUGAAUAAGGAGUCCGAAAUCCAACUCUAUCUCUAACUUUCCUAACAAACUACAACUCUUUAGGAAACAGAAAAACAGAUCCGUCAGCUUGUUUUGUCCGCCACGGUCAGCACGAGUCGAAUCUCUUGAUGGGGCCAGAUCCGUUGGAAAGGUCUUGUAAUUACCUUUCCAACAAGUACUUGUUUGCUUGAUUUGGACUCCGGAUGCGGCCUGGGUGAUUAAAACAAAUUCGGGUCUCCUGACGGCUCGGACCCGAAUCGGAUUCAACUUUAAUUCGUGAUACCUUUCUCUAGCAAGCUCCGAAUCAUGUGCCGUUUGAUUUGUUGGAAAGUAGACUUGAUAGGCUUCACUUUGAAUCUCCCUUGGCAGGCUAUCACACUUCAUCUUCACUUUGGACUUGUAAAGUUCAAUAAGAUGCCUACAUAAUAAGAUUACACAAGAUAGUAGCUCCGCCUCUUUGCAAGUAACAUAUUGAAAACAUUUUGUAAUUGAAUUCACCUGAUUAUAAUUGUUAUUAGAUACACCAACAAUUAGGGUUCUAAUGGUUGUAUCCAUGGUUAGCAUGUCCAUAUCAUCCUCCCUUUCUUGAAAGGAAAGCCGUCCUCGGCGUCGUUUGUGCUGAAAAGAGACUGACAAAAUAGACAAAGUGUGUGCAUGGUAUAUGUAUAUGUCAUCAAUUUUAACUCCACUCCCAUGCUGCACAUUCGAUGUUUCACAUAAAUAAAACUCAUAAUAGUUCAAAAGAUUAAUAGUCAUAUUCCAACGGCAAGUAUCACAUUUUAAUUUGUAAUUCUCAUCAUUAAACCAUCCUAAUGGAGGUGAACAAUAAUUCAAAAUUACCAAAUGGCGAGUUACAAUAUGCGUCAAUGUGUAAUCAUGCCACAAGUUAUUUGUCAUACAACUAUCACCAAUAUUAGAGGUCAUAUCAAAAUGAUUGAGCAUAUGCCAAAUAUUGUUGUCUCUCAAAUCAAGAAAGUUAUCACAAGCAAUGCAAAUCUGAUGCACCCAAAAUUUAUUGUUGACAUCAUGUUCUCCAAUUAAUUGGAUAGUGUAUCCAUGGGCAUUAGCAAAAGAUUUUGAAAUUGUUAACUCAGAAACUUUAUCCAUUGCAUGUGACAAAUAUAUAGGUGCAUCAAGUUUAAUAGAACACAAAGAAUUAUUAGGUGGAUCGUUCUCAAUCACUCCAUGUGUAAUUAACUCGACACAACCUAAACCAAAUUUAUCUACAUCACAUGCUUCUCCCAAAACAUUAGCUAUUUCCUCACAAUAUUCAUUCUCAUCAAUAUCAAAAUUAAUAUGUGCACUCAAAUCAUUAGAAGAAUUAAUUUCAGCAGUAGGUGCACUCAAAUCAGCAUGUAAAUCAACAAUUUCACAUGGUGCAGAAAAUUCGACAUGUAUCUCAUUUAUUUCGUCACAUGUCAUAUUUAGUUCAGGAACACAAUCAUCUUUAUCUUUACCUUGUGGGCUCGACUCAUUUGUAGUAGACCCUCGCUGUAAUUUCCUCUCAACUUUACGAGCAAGAUUAAGCAAACCCAAAAGAGAGUCGUAUUUUCCAUAUUCAAUCAUGUAAGAAAUAUCAAAGUUAAGCCCACAAUAAAACCUAUCCAUUUUUCUUUGUUCGGUUUCAUCUAAACCAGAUCGCAAGGUUAUAAUUUGGAACUCAUUGUAGUAAUCAUCAACAGUUUUAUCAUCUUGUGCCAAACGUCGUAAUUUUGAACGCAAGUUAAAAGCAUAACUAAAAGGGACAUAUUUUUCUCUCAUGAUUUUCUUCAUAUCAACCCAAGUGUGGGGAAUUUUCUUUUCUCUAACUAUCUCAUUCCACCAAGAUAAAGCAGCAAAAGUAAAUUUACUACUAGCAAUUUGAACCUUGCGACUAUCAAGUACAUGGAAGCAUGUGAAUUGUGCAGUUAAAGCUAGCUCCAAUUCUAUAUACGUUUCAGCAUCAUUUUUCCCCUCAAAGAAAGGUACACACAAUUUAAUUGUAUUAGAAGGAUUGUUUUGUACCGUUGCCAUGGCAUUAUCAACAAGAGACGUGGAGGAUGGCCGUGGUGAAAAGCACUCACCACGGUCACGGGAUAGCAUCGGUCUAGUUGCCAUGCUUCGUGUAAGUCCUGUCAUGGUUAGUAGAAAACAAGAAACAAAUCACAGUAAUAUGUUCCUAUCAACUACUAGGAUGUGGCUACAAGUCGCUCAACUCUCAAGCUAAAAAUCAAGUUCUUACAAGUUCUUACCAUGCAAAACAGGAAGGUGAUGGCCAGCGGCGUGACCAAGCCCUCCGAAGAUUAAAUGUAUCAAUGCCUCGGUAACAAACCAACCUAGGUGUAGAAUCUGUGGAGCUUGGAGGCUUUUGUGAGUAGCAAGGAAUAGCAAAUAAUCAAAUCAGCAAUGCAAAGUUGAAAAUAUGCUCAAUAAUGCUAGUCCUAGCUGCUGGAGUCGAUAAGAACGAAUUACAGAAAUAAUCUAAGCCUAGAUACUGAAGAAGGUAGGAAUAGAUAGAUCAAAAGAUGGCACAACAAGUAAAUCCCUGGGAUUUUUUUUCUUUUUUUUUUUUGUGGCCUUCUGUUUGGCUUCUUAUUCUUUUCUUCUUCUUUUUUUUUUCUUUUUUUUUUAACCUCAGAAACUCACGCAAAAGAACGACCGGAAAACUGUACGUCGGUCUGUCGAAGAACAGCAAAGGCUGCAGUAAGAAAAAUCCAGAAAAAUAUGAAAAAAAAUAUGGGUUAGAAGGGUAUCGACACAAGCUUUCCAGCAAGGGCAAGAUCACUCAAAACGGAUGUCGGACAAUGGAGAAAACUGAGAAACACCGGGCUGCAGCGACGCCGGAAAACGGAUGCAGAAACUUGGAAGCUCAGAAAGUCCACCUUACAAACCGAAUUUGGGGGUCAAAGUGCAGGGCAACGCCCUGGAUAUUUCCUGAUGCGCCUCGUCCUGAGCUUUCCAAAAAGUCCAAGAACGUCCAAAUCCGAGUUGGUACGCAAAAGAUACGCCCGUUUUACUGAACACGGGUCAAACCCACCCGAAACUAAAAUUCUACUCGGACUCGGGUCCGAAACGGACUCGAACUCUUUUUUUUUUUUCGUUUUUUUUUCUUUCUUUCUUUCCUUUUUUUUUCUUUCCUUGCUUUUUUUUUUCAAAUUUCCAAACAACUUGAUCUCUAAACAAAAUUCGAUCUAUGAUGAAACACUUUCCAAAAGCACUCCUUAUUGGAUUCGGACUCGGAUUCGCGGCUGAAAACUAUAACUUGCCGACUCGGUGUAGGACUCGAAGAGGGACUCGGUGUAGGACUCGAUGAGGGACUCGGUGUAGGACUCCAAGAGGGACUCGGUGUAAGACUCGAAGAGGGACUCGGUGUAGGACUCGAUGAGGGACUCGGUGUAGGACUCAAAGAGGGACUCGGUGGAAGAUAUGGUGGCGGCGGAAGAUUAUGGCGGUGGUGUGGCAGGAAGUUUGGCGGCGGAAGAUUGAUGAAGGAAACCUGCGUCACACGAAGAACAAGAAAACCAAAAGCAAGUUCGAUCUAGUAGAAAAAAAUCUGAAAAACGAUCCAAUCUAAUCCAGCAACUCGACACGAUUAAUGCAGCAAAGAUUCAACAAUGCAAAUACUAAUGUGAAAAUUGCAAGGCUCAGAUUGGUUCUAGGACAAGGUAACUAAUUCUAAUUUUUGUUUGGCUUUUUCUGGACGAUAGGUAAAAGCAGAUCUAAACAACGGAUAAACUGGAAAAAUCUCACCGAGCAACCUUAAGCUCUGAUACCACGUGAUAUGGGUGCGGGUGGCCCGAUCUUUCGAUGAGAUUGGUAACUCUCGAUUUGGGUAGGAGGUGACGUUGACGAUCCGACUACGGCCUAGGAGGCAGCGCCUUAGCAAUCGAUACACCAACUCCAGAGGGUUAUUGAUCACGCGGGGGCACGAUCAACCUGACCACGAAGGUCUUUGUUCCUGCAAGCAAUCGAAGAACAAGCAAGAACAAGAUAAAUAGCCGAUGCAAUCUGAAAUUGCGAAUAUACUAUAUCAAACCAAUGUCUCAACGAGACGAUAAGUUGGGGUUCCGAAAGCGGUAAAACAGGUGGUCUAACCGACACACGCGAUUACACGAAGUAGUAGCGAUGGCUAACUUUUAACUAAACAAAACCCAAGGCUCCUUAGGGGGGCUCAUGGGGUAUAUAAAGGAGGAGGAAGAGAUAUUUUCGUCCACCUUGAAUAAGGAGUCCGAAAUCCAACUCUAUCUCUAACUUUCCUAACAAACUACAACUCUUUAGGAAACAGAAAAACAGAUCCGUCAGUUGUUUUGUCCGCCACGGUCAGCACGAGUCGAAUCUCUUGAUGGGGCCAGAUCCGUUGGAAAGGUCUUGUAAUUACCUUUCCAACAAGUACUUGUUUGCUUGAUUUGGACUCCGGAUGCGGCCUGGGUGAUUAAAAC